UCCUUCCUUAUACGAUUUUAAUAUUGGAAGACUUAUGCUAAUUGUUUUAUAGGUGAACCUGCGGAAGGAUCAUUAAAGAGAAGCUCGGACAUCACGUACGAGAACCUCCAACCCUUUGUUAAACAUACCAUGNUUGCUUCGGUCAGUCGCUAUUCGAUUAGUGCAGGUGUUCUCACACUUGAGAGUACUGGCCGGUCGGCUUACAAAAAUACUUAAAUAAAUGUGAAUGAUACAGUCUGUUAAGACUGAAAAUUAAAUGAAAUAAAACUUUCAACAACGGAUCUCUUGGUUCUGGCAUCGAUGAAGAACGCAGCAAAAUGCGAUAAGUAAUGCGAAUUGCAGAAUUUCCGUGAGUCAUCGAAUCUUUGAACGCACAUUGCGCCCAUUGGUAUUCCGAUGGGCAUGCCUACUUGAGCGUCAUUAUCAACCUUCAAGUAUAUACUUGUAGUUGGCGAUUACUCGAUNGGCGUCGGGUACCGCUCAAAGACAAUGAUGAUGUCGAUGACAUUGAAGUACGACGAGUCGUGAGACAUGUAUGGAUAAAUCAUCGAACGUUGUCGACAACACCAAUGAUUUUAAUGGUUGACCUCAAAUUAGGUAGGAAUACCCGCUGAACUUAAGCAUAUCAAUAAGCGGAGGAAAAGAAACCAACAGGGAUUACCUCAGUAACGGCGAGUGAAGCGGUAACAGCUCAAAUUUGAAAUCUUUGUCCUUCGGGCAACGAGUUGUAAUUUGUAGAGGAUGUUUUGGGUACUAUCGUCGAUUAAAUUUCUUGGAACAGAAUGUCAUAGAGGGUGAGAAUCCCGUGUGGAUCGACGACAAGGCCUGUGUAAAACUCCUUCGACGAGUCGAGUUGUUUGGGAAUGCAGCUCAAAAUGGGUGGUAAAUUUCAUCUAAAGCUAAAUAUUGGCCAGAGACCGAUAGCGUACAAGUAGAGUGAUCGAAAGAUGAAAAGUACUUUGAAAAGAGAGUUAAACAGUAUGUGAAAUUGUUGAAAGGGAAGCGUUUGUCAUCAGACUUGUCGCUCGGUGUUCCCUGUCGGAUCUCCGGCAGCUAUUCAUCGUUCAGCAGGCCAACAUCAAUUUUGAAAGUGAGUUAAAAGUGCCGGGAAUGUACCUUACCCCUCGGGGUAAGACUUAUAGCUCGGCACAUCAUGUCACUCUUCGGGAUUGAGGACCGC
RNAcentral lists this ribosomal RNA (1180 nucleotides) under uncultured fungus. RNAcentral describes it as "eukaryotic LSU rRNA". The stretch from base 584 to 1180 matches the Rfam family "Eukaryotic large subunit ribosomal RNA", at positions 1 to 603 of the family's 3401-position model. The record is from RNAcentral. Lineage: Eukaryota; Fungi.